CCUACGGGUGGCAGCAGUGAGGAAUAUUGGUCAAUGGGCGGAAGCCUGAACCAGCCAAGUCGCGUGAGGGAAUAAGGCCCUAAGGGUCGUAAACCUCUUUUGCCGGGGAGCAAGGGCUGGGACGUGUCCCCGCCCGGAGCGUACCCGGGAAAAAAGCAUCGGCUAACUCCGGGCCAGCAGCCGCGGUAAUACGGAGGAUGGGAGCGUUAUCCGGAUUUUUUGGGUUUAAAGGGUGCCAAGGCGGGCUUUUAAGUCAGCGGUAAAAAUUCGGGGCUCAACCCCGUCCGGCCGUUGAAACUGGGAGCCUGGAGUGGGCGAGAAGAAGGCGGAAUGCGUGGUGUAGCGGUGAAAUGCAUAGAUAUCACGCAGAACCCCGAUUGCGAAGGCAGCCUUCCGGCGCCCUACUGACGCUGAGGCACGAAAGUGCGGGGAUCGAACAGGAUUAGAUACCCGUGUAGUC
This 460-nucleotide ribosomal RNA is filed under the name uncultured bacterium. RNAcentral describes it as "partial 16S ribosomal RNA". It matches the Rfam family "Bacterial small subunit ribosomal RNA", at positions 338 to 795 of the family's 1533-position model. The record is from RNAcentral.